RNAcentral lists this ribosomal RNA (253 nucleotides) under uncultured bacterium. RNAcentral's name for it is "partial 16S ribosomal RNA". It matches the Rfam family "Bacterial small subunit ribosomal RNA", at positions 524 to 776 of the family's 1533-position model. The record is from RNAcentral.
UACGUAGGGUGCAAGCGUUAAUCGGAAUUACUGGGCGUAAAGCGUGCGCAGGCGGUGAUGUAAGACCGAUGUGAAAUCCCCGGGCUCAACCUGGGAACUGCAUUUGUGACUGCAUCGCUGGAGUGCGGCAGAGGGGGAUGGAAUUCCGCGUGUAGCAGUGAAAUGCGUAGAGAUGUGGAGGAACACCGAUGGCGAAGGCAGCCCCCUGGGUCAACACUGACGCUCAUGCACGAAAGCGUGGGGAGCAAACAGG